AAUUGAAUCAGAGAGCGUUUUUCUCGUAUACCGACCUGUUCUUUAGCGCUCAAGGCUUGGAGCAUCACGUAUUCAUCCCUAAAGAUAUGGAUUCAUCUGGUAAACCAACCUGUUCUCUCAGCAUCACGGAUUCAUCCCUAAACAUAUGGAUUCAUCUGGUAAACCAACCUGUUCUCUCGCCCUAGGGCUUACAGUAUUCAAGUAUUGUUUCUGGAUCUUUUUUCUCCACAAUUGUGUGUUUGUAUGAUGACGAUGAAGAAUUUUGAUUACUUCUGAAGAAAAUAUCUGCGUUCUUGACCAUUUCGAGCAGUAGUGCCCGGAGAUAGGAGUUGUUCCCAGUCAUAUUUAUCAGAGCUAAGUUCUAAGAGAAAAGAGAAGGAAUAUCAGCUUGACGAUGACAGUGUUUGUUACGGUUUCGAAAUUCUGAGAAUCUGGAUCAGUAUCUCAAUUUCAUUUCAAAGAUGGCUUUGAUUCACACCGUUCUGAAAAAGAUUUUCCAUCCGAAAAAGAGAAAAAAAAAAAAGAAAAAAAAAAAAACAAAACAAAACAGAGUGUUUAUCAAAAGAAAUGCCUCGAUCAAGGGUAGAUGUGUUGAAUUUUCUGGAUCGCCUCCUGAAGUUCUAGAAUCACCAAGAUCGCGUGAGUUCUACCAGGAAAAGCCUCGCCAUUAUCGGCCACUUAUUGCUAUGAAUUCGAUUUGUAGCCAACAGCCUCUCUACGAAGGUCGGGGUUGGAGAGAUAUUUCCCAUGAUAGGAGUUUAUAUACAAUUUGGAGUUUCAAUUCAGGCUUCUUGUCAAGUGUGCGGGAAUUUCUUGAACCCCUCGUUUGAGAUAUUCUGCAUCCACACCAUUAAUUUGGCUUCAAAGGUUUGGAGUCCCAACAUCUGGGAGUAGAUUAUAUGAGAAUUUGAUUAUUUAGUGUCAAUGGUAAAUAUAUGUAUCUUGAAGGGCUUCCCAAUGGUAGGCCAUUGGAAGCCGUGAAAAGGUAUAUAUUUGAAGCUUUGUUGCCAUUGUGUCGUCGACCUUUGCCAUGACAGGUGCGCUUGCUUGGCAGGUCAAAGUGCUUCAAUAAAAAGUUCCAUUUUCGAGUGUUCGGGGGAGGGGAUGGCACGGUGCCCUUUUAUCCGGCUCCCCUCUCCCAAUCUCUCUCUCUCUCUCCCCCUCCCUCUCCCUCUCUCCCUGUCUCUCUUUCUUCGGUUCUUUCUGUAGUUUUGCUCAGUCUUUGCACGUCCACUAUUACAAAGAGCCGUGUGCGCAGCAAAAACUAAAUCGACGGUGAGAUUCCACCCUCUUCGAGGUACGAAUUUCGAAUUAUAUCCAUUUUCUAAAGUCGUUAUGGUCUAAUUGCAUCGACCCAUCUCGAGCUGUCAAUAUGGCAAAUUUGAAAUCAUACCAUUUACUGAACUCGUUAUUGUCUAUAUGCACGAUUGCGUUUCUCACUGCCAAGCAUUGCCAAACUACAUUUUUAGCUAAAUUCCGCAACUUUCAUUAUGGAAGAAUCAUAUCUGACGUUCUUAUCAACUGUUCUACAAAUUAUAUGCAAUCUGAUCCAUUUCUUUAUGUGACGUUUAUGCGUUCCACUUUCUUCUAGCAUGUUUAGCCAACGUCGAAAGAUGAUUUGCAAUGGCCUUUUAAUUCGGAUGUUCUUUGAUUUUGUACAUAAACUCUAAGCUCCAAACAGACUUUACUCUACAUUUCUCAAGUGAGACAGCUUAGCCGCUUUCUUGGCUCUCUGGAGCUGAACAACUGCAGCUUGAGUUCUUGCAAAAGGAGAAGGAUGGCUCAGGCCACUGCUAGGCCAGUAGGGGAGUAAUUGUAAUGCAUACGGCUAGAUAGGGAUAGGGAAUUAAAUGUAACUAGUGAAACUUUAAUUUAUAUCAGGUCUCAUCUGAAUCUACCCAUCUAUCCUCCUGAGGAGAAGUUUGGAGUACUUCAUGCUAGUGUGCCUUGUAUAAUCUACAUCUGAGAAUCAGUUGCUGAUGAGCACAUUGAACUAUUCACGUAGCUAAGAGCCCUCACAAGGAGGCCAUUAAAUUAUUAGCGCCAGCUUAGUUUUGUACCUAGGGUCAUUUUAUACUUUAUAGAUUGUAAUUAAUGUAACUAAUUCCUACUUCCCACAGCCCUAACCUAAGGUAAUUAUAAGGUAGGGGCUCCCUUUUGUAAACACAUCUUUUGGGAAUAAAAUAACUUCCUUUUUUUUUU
Long non-coding RNA from Cucurbita moschata (crookneck pumpkin), 2202 nucleotides. RefSeq lists it as uncharacterized. NCBI's taxonomy places the organism in Eukaryota, Viridiplantae, Streptophyta, Magnoliopsida, Cucurbitales, Cucurbitaceae. The transcript is spliced from 4 exons. The record is from RefSeq and is a predicted model, not a curated record.